Molecule: ribosomal RNA, 253 nt
Filed under: uncultured bacterium
Lineage: Bacteria
Description: partial 16S ribosomal RNA
Rfam family: Bacterial small subunit ribosomal RNA
Source: RNAcentral
UACGUAGGGUGCAAGCGUUGUCCGGAAUUAUUGGGCGUAAAGAGCUCGUAGGCGGUCUGUCGCGUCGAAUGUGAAAACCCGGGGCUCAACCCCGGGCCUGCAUUCGAUACGGGCAGACUAGAGUUCGGUAGGGGAGUCUGGAAUUCCCGGUGUAGCGGUGGAAUGCGUAGAGAUCGGGAAGAACAUCAGUGGCGAAGGCGGUCUGCUGGGCCGUUGCUGACGCUGAGGCGCGACAGCGUGGGGAGCAAACAGG